AUAGUCAUGUAAAGAAAAAAAAUUUACUUAGAUAGAUUAUCUUUCCAUAAGGUUGAGUGAUCUGAUUUGAUAAAUGUUUUAAAUGCUACACUCAUGAUCUUAUCAUCCAUCAACUUUGUCUUGCUCACUAUGCUUAAGGUUAGAGAAGAACAAAUACACAUUUGGUUCUGUUGGUGUUUUCCACCAACAGGGCCCAUGCACUUGAUCUCUGUCUUGUCUCUAUGAGCAGGAUACACUUCGAGCAAAACAUGGAGGAGUUUUCCAACUCCCAGACUCUACCAAGUGAAGGAUCUGGAUCUACGAGCACAAACACACUGAGGAGGAUGCUGCCAACGCCGCACUUCGAACUGCUGGGCAAACGAAAAACAUGGGGGACACCGUAUCAAGAGGUGCAGAUGUCAAGGUCCAAACCUAACUCAAAUGACGCACCUAAAGAAUAAACACGGUGAGAAGUCUUGUUCAGAAGACUUAAAACAUUGAACCCUCGCCGAAAGGUAAAAUCGGUAGUUAUCCAUAUUUAUCCUUUCUGCAUUCCUUUUUUUUCUUAAAUUAUUUACUUUCCUUAAAUAGCUUGUUAGUUAAUCAUGCUAUCUUGAAAAUAAAAUAAAAAUGUUAAAAACAGUAAGCCCCAUGUGAGUAUGCUCAUGGCAUAAAAUCCAUUCACUAUGGCGGCGUAAAAAUAAAAUAAAUAUAUUCUUGUCCUAUAAAAAUGAAAAUAUCAAAAUAAAUUUAUGAUCCUACUAAAGAGAAUAAUAUUUAUUAGAGGAAGCUCAACAUGAUAAAGGCUAAGAGAUUUUAUGCUAACUCUUAACCAGUUCCACAAAGCUUUGUUGUCUAUUUGAGCUCCACAGAAUUCAAGGAUCAAGGAAGACUAGCAGACGGAGGAUAUCCUAAUCGCUAUCAGGGUGCUUGUUGACGGUCCUUAAUGCUCACAUUUAACCAUCAACUAAUCAUGGGAAAGGAUCUAAAUGCAACCAACACCAAGACUUAGGGUUUUAUCUGACAGAAUUCCACGAGUUUUGGUGUUUAUCUAUUUCUGCAGGGGGUUAUCAGGAAACAUGGAAGAAAGGCCCACAUGUCGGGAUUACGUAGAGAUAUUAAUGUGCCGCGCAAUUUUCUACCAUCUAGAAGACUCCAGAAGCCACGGGAACGAACGGGAAGGCGAUCGGGCUCGGAGGCAGGGCGCCCGCCCUACUCUCCUGGGCGCCCGCCCUGCUACAGUGCCCAAUCAGGGUCAACUUUGCGGAUCGUGCUCCACCGACUCUAAGGAUCAAGGAAAAUCACGCGAUUAAGGUCGGUUUGAUCGGAUGGUGGAGAAUAACGUGGAAAUUCCUUGGGAGCUACUCUUCCUAGAUUUCUUGGGAGCUACUCUUCCUAGAUUUUUUGGGGGCUACUCUUCCUGGACUAUAUAAGCAGACCCCCACCAGCCCCUGGAGGCAUACCUCUUCUAUAGAAUCAAAGCUAGGGUUUCAAUUCUUCAUCCAAGUAGAGAGGAUCCCUCUAGUUCUUCUAGUUCUACCUCUAGUUCAUCUAGAUCUAGUUCUAGUUCAUCUAGUUCUAGUUCUAGUUCCUCUAGUUCUAGUUCUAGUUAGUUCUAGUUGUAAUCUAGAAAAUAGGAAGAGAGAAGAGGAGAGCGGAGGAGGAGGAGCCGGAUCUGUCGGAUCUUCCUCAACAUUGUACUUUUGCAGCAACUGGUUCGUUCUUCAUCGUUCUCCAGGUUCUUCAAUUAAUAAUCCUGAGUUCUUUAAUUACUUUUAUUUACAUUCAAGUUAUUUAUUGGAUUCCCGCUUGCAUCAAGUGCUCUAAUCUUUGCAACAUUAGAGUAGUAAUUAAUAGAUUAGACGUGGUGUUUAGUCUUGCAAUUACCUGGAAUUGCACCCAAUCCUGCGGAUUGUUGUGGUAGCCUUAGGGUAGUGACAGCCCUAACGGUCGACGUAUUCCACCUCGUUCGGAUCGGUGUUUGUAGGACCGUAGUCAGACCUUCCUAGCCCCCUUCUCAUCUCUUUCUGUGGUUAGUGCUCUGAUGUCCCGAUAUAGAUAAUCUUGAAGUAAUUCUUGAUUCUUAGAUCAACUAGAGAACUCUCAUGAAACUUUCUCUCUUCCCACCAAAAACAAUUAUAUAGUUAUCCCUGGGCGAUCUUGAUUCUUAAUUAGUACACUCACGUUCUCUGUGGAAAAUCGAUACUCUGGAAUACUCCCGGGUGAAAGCUACAUCAGUAUCCGUGCGCUUGCGGAUUUUUCUGUUUGCGUUUAAAAUACCCAACAAGCUUUCUGGCGCCGUUGCCGGGGAACGGUAGCUGUGCUAGUUUCGAACCAAGUCAUCCGUGUAUCCUUUUUCUUUUCCUUUUUACCACACUCACCUUACCAUUUUCACCACACCACAUGGAUUUCACUCCUAUUUAUAAAUUCUUUGCUCCAAAGGGCGAGUUAUUAGAGCCACCACCAUCAUCACAUCCAAUUCUUACAGAUGGCUAUGACCUUGGCCCUGAUCUAAUAGCCAUGAUUCAGGAGCAACCCUUCUCUGGGCAAGUAGAUGAAGAUCCAUACACCCAUCUUAGAGAAUUUGAGCAGUUGUGUUCUUGCCGAUCUAUUUCCGUCAUGACACAAGAAACCCUUAAAUGGAAAUUAUUUCCGUUCUCCCUUUUGGGAAGAGCAAAAAAGUGGUAUGCUCAUUCUGUAGGAGGCGUUAAUGGAAGUUGGGAUGAACUUCGGGGCAACUUUUGUCUUGCUUUCUUCCCACUUUUUCGAAUCGCUGACCUUAGAAUCAAAAUUCUUACAUUCAAACAAAGAGAGAAGGAAACUUUAGGAGCAGCUUGGGCUAGGUUCACAAGCCUUACCAAUUCCGGUCCAAACCUUUCCCUGCCUGACCAUGUACUGUACUGCCACUUUUAUCGUGGUCUAAGCAAGGAGGCUGCUCUUCACCUCGACAUUGCUUCAGGAGGCUCAUUCACACACAAACUCACAGAUGAGGGGAGAGCUAUCCUAGAGAGAAUCCUUGAAAAUACCCCUUACACAGGCAUGUAUGAUGAGUUUCCUGAAGAAGAAGAAGAAGUCGAGCCUGAUCCUAAACCAAAAGAUGAGGAACUUGCAACCGAGUUAGAAAUUCCACCUGACCCACCUAUUAAUUUGGUUGUAGAGAAACCUCCAGAUAAGGGAAUGCAAAACCAACUAAGGGAUGAUGAACCACCACCUUUAGAGCAUCCCUUUGAAUUCGAGGAAGAUCUUUUUGAAGAUUAUGGAAACACCUCGAAUUUUCCUAUCCAAACACGACCUCUAGUAAGGACCACUCAAUCUGUUCUAAGAGUAGAAUCUGUUGACAUAGAACACAUCAAAAGCCUUUCGGCUAUUCUGAGUUAUGAAUGGCUAACAGAAGCUGAGCUGUCUCCUGAGGUAGCUCGAAUCAUCACUCCUUCAACCAUUCUUCUGUGCCAAAUUAGAGGGUCCCCUAGGAAGGUCCACUACAAUCCAUAUGUUGGGAUAAAUGUUAUUUCCAAGGAGUUAGCUGACACUCUUUAUCCCAACGAGUCCAUAACCCCAUCCCAAAAACUUUUACAAAGUCCAUCUGGAUUAAUUCUAGAAAGCCAUGGUGUAUUAAGGGCAGUUUCUGUUAGAAUCAAGGACUCUGGAAUAUGUCUAGACUUUCACAUUUUUGACAUACCAGAGAUUCCUCUCUUGAUUGGCAGACCAAUCAUGAAACUUCUACAAGAGCAGCCACAACGAGGUUAUUUAGGCUUCAAAGUGGGGAAUUCCACUAUUGUUGUCCCUCUUGCUAGAUGAAUUAACACGAUAGUGGAACCCAAACUUGACCUAGAUCCUAUUGAGGAGGUCUUAAUGGUGACUCAAGAGGAGAUGACCCAACCAUUCUUUAAUCAUGAACACUUUGUUCAAGAAGAAGAAGAGUUGGUAGAACCCGUUGAGCUAGACAAAAAUGAACUACCUUCACCUCCUUCGAUAGAAUUAAAACCUCUUCCUUCUGGCCUUAGAUAUGUAUUCUUGCACAACAACUCAAAAACUCCAGUAAUUAUCAGUGACAAGCUUUCCGAUUAUGAAACACAACAACUUGUCACUGUUCUUGAAAGACAUAGAUCAGCUUUUGGCUACUCUCUCGAGGAUCUCACGGGCAUUAGUCCCAUUCUCUGCACUCAUCGUAUCCCUAUUGAUCCUAAUUUUACACCUUCGAGGGAACCACAACAGAGACUUAACAAUGCUAUGCGAGAGGUUGUUAAGAAAGAGGUCCUCAAACUCUAUCGUGCUGGGAUUAUUUAUCCUGUGCCACAUAGUGAGUGGGUUAGCCCUAUCCAAGUAGUGCCAAAGAAAGGAGGAAUGACGGUCGUUAGGAAUGAGAAGAAUGAACUCAUCCCUCAACGAAUUGUCACUGGGUGGCGUAUGUGUAUUGACUAUCGAAAACUCAAUAAGGCUACAAAGAAAGAUCACUUUCCGUUACCCUUCAUUGAUGAAAUGUUAGAAUAGCUUGCAAACCACUCUUUCUUUUGUUUCCUUGAUGGUUAUUCUGGAUAUCACCAAAUCCCAAUCCACCCAGAUGACCAAGAAAAGACUACCUUUACAUGCCCAUAUGGAACUUAUGCAUACCGACGAAUGUCGUUCGGAUUGUGCAAUGCUCCAGCUUCUUUCCAACGGUGCAUGAUGUCUAUUUUCUCGGACAUGAUUGAGAAGAUCAUGGAGGUUUUCAUGGAUGAUUUUACCGUCUAUGGCAAAACCUUCGAUCAUUGUUUGGAAAAUUUAGAUAGAGUCUUGCAGCGAUGUGAAAAAAAACACUUAAUCCUGAACUGGGAGAAAUGCCAUUUUAUGGUUCAGGAAGGAAUAGUGCUAGGACAUAAAGUGUCCGAACGUGGUAUAGAGGUGGACAAAGCAAAGAUUGAAGUUAUUGAAAAACUUCCACCUCCCACGAAUGUGAAAGGAAUCCGUAGCUUUUUGGGACAUGCAGGGUUCUAUAGACGCUUUAUCAAGAAUUUCUCUCAAAUUGCUAGACCCCUAACUAAUCUCCUAGCUAAGGAUGCACCUUUCAUCUUUAGUGAUGAGUGUCAUGAAUCUUUUCAAACUCUUAAGAAAGCACUCAUCUCAGCCCUGAUUAUCCAACCACCUGAUUGGAAUCUUCCUUUUGAGAUCAUGUGUGAUGCUAGCGAUUUUGCGGUUGGUGCCGUUUUAGGACAAACCAAGGAUAGAAAGCAUUAUGCCAUAUCCUACGCUAGCAAAACCUUGUCUGGACCACAGCUCAAUUACACUACAACUGAAAAAGAGCUUUUGGCUGUUGUCUUUGCUAUAGACAAGUUUAGAUCUUACUUAGUGGGGGCAAAGAUAAUCAUCUAUUCAGACCAUGCUGCUCUCAAGUACCUCCUCACUAAGAAAGAUGCUAAGCCUCGUCUAAUUCGAUGGAUUCUUCUACUCCAAGACUUUGACAUAGAAAUCCGAGAUAGGAAGGGAGUUGAGAAUUCUGUAGCCGACCACUUGUCUAGGCUUCAAUAUAAGGAAACACAUGAUGAGCUUCCCAUAAAUGACUACCUAAGGGAUGACACCCUACUUAAGAUAACACAUGCAGAUCCAUGGUACGCAGACAUCGUAAACUUUAUAGUAAAAGGCUAUGUCCCACCUGGUGCAAACAAAAGGAAGUUACUUCACGAUAGUCGUUUCCACCUUUGGGAUGAGCCAUAUCUUUUUCGAGUCUGCGCUGAUGGACUCUUGAGAAGGUGUGUUCCUAUGGCCGAGGCUACUCAAAUUAUGGAAAGAUGCCAUGCCUCGCCAUAUGGAGGACACUAUGGAGCAUUCCGGACACAUGCUAAAAUUUGGCAAAGUGGUUUUUUCUGGCCAACGAUGUAUGAAGAUACAAAGGACUUUGUCAGGAGAUGCCACCGAUGUCAAAAACAUGGGAAUAUCAACUCACGAAAUGAAAUGCCUCUCACAAAUAAUCUUCAAGUAGAACUUUUCGAUGUAUGGGGCAUUGAUUUCAUGGGGCCAUUCCCUAUGUAUGGGAAUUGUGAGUAUAUCUUAGUAGCUGUGGACUACGUGUCCAAAUGGGUAGAAGCCCUACCUUGUCGAUCAGCUGAUUCAAAACAUGCCAAGAGAAUGUUCCAUGAAGUAAUCUUUCCUCGCUUUGGUAUACCCCGGAUAGUUAUAAGCGAUGGAGGUUCCCACUUCAUCGACAAAAUCUUCCGGAAGUACUUAGCCGAUCAUGGAGUUCGACACAACGUCGCAACACCAUACCAUCCUCAGACUAGCGGUCAAGCCGAAACAUCUAACAAACAAAUCAAAAAUAUUCUACAAAAGACCGUAGAUGAGAUGGGUAAGGGGUGGAAGGACAAACUUCCUGAUGCACUUUGGGCAUAUAGAACUGCAUUCAAAGCACCCAUAGGCAUGUCACCUUAUCAACUUGUAUAUGGAAAAACUUGUCAUUUGCCUGUGGAAGUAGAGUUUAAGGCUCAUUGGGCACUCAAGAAAUGGAACAUGGAUCUCCACCUCGCUAGCGAGAAUCGUCUGAUGCAACUAUCUGAGCUAGAAGAAUGGAGAGAGAAAGCCUACCACAAUUCAAGGAUCUAUAAAGAGAGAACAAAACGAUGGCAUGAUAAGAGAAUCAAGCACAAGGAGUUUAAGCCUGGAGAUAAGGUUCUACUAUUCAAUUCAAGAGUUAAGCUCUUUGGGCAUGGUAAGCUACGAAGUAAGUGGGAUGGACCAUACAAGGUUAUUGACACUUCAACUCAUGGAGCCAUUACCAUCCAAAAUGACAUAGGUAACACUUUUAAGGUAAAUGGUCAACGCUUGAAAAUCUAUCUCGAGCCACAAAACAACCUGGUAGAGGAACUUGAUGUGAUUGAGUUCAUAGAAUUCUCAUAUUAAGCUCUCAUAAGCUCUAGACAAUUACCUAACCCUUAACAUGCUCCACAAGUUUUGUUGUCUAUUUGGGUUGUGCAGGAUUUUUGAAGCUUAAGAAGAGUAAGACCGAACAUGCAGGCCACAAGAGUGAACGACUAUGUCAACAUCCAGCUUGGGGGAGGCACCCCUACGUGUAUCUAGAUAAGUAUUACUUUUCUUUCUUGGUUUUAUUUACUAGUAUUCGGAAAUAAAAAAAAUGCAUAACCAUGAAACCAAACAAAGUUUUUCUUUUGAGUAAUAUACAAUAGUUUCGUGUAAUCCUAAGUUUUAAAUAAAAUAAAAAAAAGUUUGAUUCAAGUCUAGGUAAUUGACAAACAUGAUAUGAGAAUGUCUGAGCUACUAUUUAACUUGUUCCAAGUUUUGCUAGAGUUGUGCAGAUUUUAUCUUUUGAAAAUAUAAAAUUUCAUAAAAAAAAAUAUAUGAGAUCAUAAUACCUAGAGUCUUAUAAGAUAUAAAUAUUAAAACUGUGGGCACUUGCUUUGUUCAAGCCAUUGUUAAUUCUUGUAGUUUUGGUUGAGAGAAUUAUCAUGCUCCCAAGAUCAAGAUCUUUUUGUUUUAAAAAUAUAAAAGAUUCACUCUUCCGAAGUAUUAUUGCGUUAGAGGCAUGGGACUAUGCAAAAUUUUGAUUCGAAAAAAAAAGUGAGACGAGAGGUAAAAAUGUACAAGUGUCCGAAGUAGAAUUAGGGGUACAAAGAUACCCACCUGAGUGGAAAAAAUGGACAUGUGUCCGACAGUAGAAUUAGGGGUACUUGCUGCCCACUUGAAAAAAAAAGAAGAGACUGAAGAAAAAAAGAAAAAAAAAUGAUAGCCUAUGGUCCCUCUAAUAAGCAAUAUGCCAGUAAGAGAUGACAAACUUUUCAAAAAGGUCAAAGGUCUUGAUCUAGGAGUAUGACAUUCCUCUCCCUUGCUCCGAGCAUUGACAUAGCAAAAUGCAAAGUAAGUAUGCUAAAAUUUUUAAAGCUCUACUUAUAUAUCUUUCGAGAAGAAGGCAAAUGCUUCAGUUUUAUUUUGAAAACUUACAAACAACUCCAGAACAAAGGUAAGACAGAAGAGCUUGAGACAUAGUGCUUGACUUGAUCGUUCUGUUUUUCAAUCACAUAAGACUUUAAAAACCCUAUAGUAAGAGGCAUAAAAGUAACCCCUGUUUUCUUGAUGAUUUUAGCUUUGCUCAGGGACGAGCAAAGGUUAAGCUUGGGGGAGCUUGUUGACGGUCCUUAAUGCUCACAUUUAACCAUCAACUAAUCAUGGAAAAGGAUCUAAAUGCAACCAACACCUGGACUUAGGGUUUUAUCUGACAGAAUUCCACGAGUUUUGGUGUUUAUCUAUUUCUACAGGGGGUUAUCAGGAAAUAUGGAAGAAAGGCCCACAUGUCGGGAUUACGUAGAGAUAUUAAUGUGCCGCGCAAUUUUCUACCAUCUAGAAGACUCCAGAAGCCACGGGAACAAACGGGAAGGCGAUCGGGCUCGGAGGCAGGGCGCCCGCCCUACUCUCCUGGGCGCCCGCCCUGCUACAGUGCCCAAUCAGGGUCAACUUCGCGGAUCGUGCUCCACCGACUCUAAGGAUCAAGGAAAAUCACGCGAUUAAGGUCGGUUUGAUCGGAUGGUGGAGAAUAACGUGGAAAUUCCUUGGGAGCUACUCUUCCUAGAUUUCUUGGGAGCUACUAUUCCUAGAUUUCUUGGGGGCUACUCUUUCUGGACUAUAUAAGCAGACCCCCACCAGCCCCUGGAGGCAUACCUCUUCUAUAGAAUCAAAGCUAGGGUUUCAAUUCUUCAUCCAAGUAGAGAGGAUCCCUCUAGUUCUUCUAGUUCUAUCUCUAGUUCAUCUAGAUCUAGUUCUAGUUCAUCUAGUUCUAGUUCUAGUUUCUCUAGUUCUAGUUCUAGUUAGUUCUAGUUGUAAUCUAGAAAAUAGGAAGAGAGAAGAGGAGAGCGGAGGAGGAGGAGCCGGAUCUGUCGGAUCUUCCUCAACAUUGUACUUUUGCAGCAACUGGUUCGUUCUUCAUCGUUCUCCAGGUUCUUCAAUUAAUAAUCCUGAGUUCUUUAAUUACUUUUAUUUACAUUCAAGUUAUUUAUUGGAUUCCCGCUUGCAUCAAGUGCUCUAAUCUUUGCAACAUUAGAGUAGUAAUUAAUAGAUUAGACGUGGUGUUUAGUCUUGCAAUUACCUGGAAUUGCACCUAAUCCUGCGGAUUGUUGUGGUAGCCUUAGGGUAGUGACAGCCCUAACGGUCGACGUAUUCCACCUCGUUCGGAUCGGUGUUUGUAGGACCGUAGUCAGACCUUCCUAGCCCCCUUCUCAUCUCUUUCUGUGGUUAGUGCUCUGAUGUCCCGAUAUAGAUAAUCUUGAAGUAAUUCUUGAUUCUUAGAUCAACUAGAGAACUCUCAGGAAAUUUCCUCUCUUCCCACCAAAAACAAUUAUAUAGUUAUCCCUGGGCGAUCUUGAUUCUUAAUUAGUACACUCACGUUCUCUGUGGAAAAUCGAUACUAUGGAAUACUCCCGGGUGAAAGCUACAUCGGUAUCCGUGCGCUUGCGGAUUUUUCUGUUUGCGUUUAAAAUACCCAACAGUGCUGCCAACAUUCAAAUACACCUACGCCACCUGCUAGCUACAUCAGAAGAAAUUAUGUUAAAAUCCACCUUGGGGGAGAGCACCUCUAUUUAUCCAGCUAAGUGUUUCUACUCACAUUUAUACCUUACUCAAAUAAUAAAAAAUGCAUAAUCAUAAAAACCUAAUUAAACAUUUUGUGCUUAUAUAUAUCUUUGCUUAGUUUGCUAAAUAAAUAAAUAAAGUGUCCAUGCCAAACUGAACUUCAAUGAUAAAGUCUUACAUGGAUAUGAUGAAUAGUUGCUCUGCCAAGUACCUAGUUUUCAAAUUUGAGCUCUCUCUCAAGUUUAGGCAUAACUGUUAUAAUUUAAAACUUGCUCUAAACCUGAAUUUGCGGAAAGAGUCCCUGAUCAAAAGUCUAAGUCGUUAACAGAUAUGAUAUGGAAAGGUUGAGCUGAUGUUUAUCUGUUCCUAGACAUGCUUAUUAGACUAUGAACCAUACAUUUACUUUUUACUACUUAUGAGCAUUGAGUGUGGUCAAGCUGUGUAGACCCUUAGGAGCUUGUCAUGUGGUUAAAAUCAAGAUUCACUUGCACGUUCACUCAUACAUGCUACUUCUACUCUGGAAGUACGCAUCCACAUACAUCCACUCAUUUCCAUAUCCAGAUUCACCCAAAAUUAUUCUACUCCUAUCUAGGAGAGAAUAGCCAAAAACAUUAUCCUAUCCUUAUUAUUCCCCGUGAAAUAAAUGCUCGAGAUAUUUUGGUUACUACCACUUGCUACAUUAUUCCAGGAGGUUGAGUGCUCUGAAAAAAAGUGAAUACGAGGAAAUAAAAAGGGGCAAGUGCCCGAAACCUCGAAAAAAAGAAAAAAAAGUGAGACGAGAGGUAAAAAUGGACAAGUGUCCGACAAUAGAAUUAGGGGUACAAGAUACCCACCUGAGAGAAAAGGAAAAAGAAAAUAUAGAGCAUUUCAUUCCCCUCAAAAAGCUUCAAAGUGCAAGAAAGGUAUGUAUCCCCUCAAAAGAGCAAAAGUAGAAUUAGACUUUCACCAUUAUUUUCACCAUUAUCACUAUUCAUUCGCCACACAUGCACAUCUUGAUUUGACUUAUUGACUUAUUCUUUUGGAUCCAUGGUUUGACUAUGCAAUAAGUGUCUUGUAAGUAUGUAUUAGCUGACUCCCACCUAUGAGCUCCAGAUAUCAAAACCUUAUUAGAGUAGGGUGAGAAAGAAGGCAAUACCACUAUGCCUCAUACCAAAAAUACCACAUACUUUGAGAGAAGGCAUACACCAUUACUGCCUUGGUAUGGAUCCAGAAAUACCACAAAAGAGAGACUAGAGAGAGUCAUACAAGGAAUUUCUGAGUUUUAUUUGAAAAUCUGCAAAAACUCCAGAGCUAUAGUUAAUCGAAGGACAAGAGACAUGGCGCUUGACUAGACCGUUCUAUCUUUUAACUGCUCAAGACAUAAGUGAUGGUUGCAAGCCCCAUGGUGGAAGGUAAAAUGAGUAAGUUCAAAUCUUAACAGUUUACCCUAACCCAGAGAUGAGAUCUUGUUUGAACGCAUGUGUACCUUUAAGGCAAGAAACCACUUUAGAAACUCUUGAGUCCAUCUUUGCUCAGGGACGAGCAAAGGUUAAGCUUGGGGGAGCUUGUUGACGGUCCUUAAUGCUCACAUUUAACCGUCAACUAAUCAUGAAAAAGGAUCCAAAUGCAACCGACACCUAGACUUAGGGUUUCAUCUGACAGAUUUCCAUGAGUUUUGGUGUUUAUCUAUUUCUACAGGGGGUUAUCAGAAAAUACGAAGGAAAGGCCCACAUGUCGGGUUUACAUAGAGAAUUAAUGUGUGCGGUAAUUUUCUAUAAUCAAGAAGACUCUAGAAGCCACUCGACCGAAGCGGAGCCGAGACGGGCCUGGGACCAGGGCGCCCGUCCUUGACCCUAGGGUGCCCGCCCUGGUACAUGCACCAAUCACAGAAUGAAGUACACCAUUACAAAGAUCUCGUCGAGCUUAUCGAAAUGCAUAUAUUAUUUGCUAUAUUUGGAGUUCGGAAUCAAGAGAUAUUAAUAAAAGAAGGACUCCACAUAAAAGAGCUGCGGGAUUAAUUGGACCCAAAUCAGAUUUUGGUCCAUUAAGGCCUAUGUGCAUUUGUAAUACCCGAUUUUAAGGACAAAACCAGAUAUACACCAUAUGUGAGUCUUAGAAGUCAAAUCUCACAUAUAGCUACAAAUAACGGGUAAUAUCAAAAGACAAUGCGUAAAUUAUAACGUACUUAGUGUAAAAGAUAUAACCUUUGAUAGCAACAGCGGACAAACAACUCCAAACUUCGGGUAUUAACUUCUCUCUACAGGAUCCAACUGACUGGUUGAUCACAAGCCUAAAACAUCUCCUAAAGUGUGCGGGAAAUUGCAAGAGAGAGCACAUAUCGUACUCAACAAGUAUAGGGGUUCAUGAGGCUCAAUAAGCUGACACUGGUUUGACUGCAUUUAGCUUUUAUAUGUGAAUAGCAUAUUUAAUCAUUGGAUAGAAAUAUCAAGGUAGCAUAGUAAAUCCCAUAACCACAUGAUCAAUUGUAUACAAGAAUUAUGAAUAACACAUAUAAACAACAUAAUAAACCAUCAUUUAUCAUCAUUAAUCAUGUUCAUCAGUGUCCGUCUAUUCCGUCAGUUUUCCGGGCCGCCCGUAUCCAUGGGCACGGCUAGUAUACCAGAUUUAACACUCUACAGAGGUUGUACAUCUUUACCCAUGAGUCGUGGUUUACCCUUUCGCCCGAGGUUGCAAGUCUCUUAACCCCCUUCCUAGGGAGGUCGGCAGGGAUCACUAUGAAGCCUUACAAAGGUUUUGUCUAACAAGUUAGGCCAUUAGAUUCACUCGGUAGGCAGAUAUAGAGCCUCCCUUCCAUGGCACAUAACCCGCAGCCUAUACACAUGGACAGAGGCCACACUAUACCCAACGUGUCUAGCCAUUCUUACGCCAUUUAAGGUAACCACUAACAAGCUAGAAAAGGGUCCUCAUACUGAGCUAAAACCAGAGCCAUAUAGCCCUCAUCGUUGUACGAGUUGUCCCAGCUUUUGCCAAGGGAUAAGUCCUUAUGGAGGGUCAAGAUCAAUCUAGCAAAAGCUAGAGUUCUUUCCACCCUUUAUGUUCAAGUUGCGAGAAAGCUUAUUUUAUUGUUUAUUGUAUAUCUAAAUAUUCAUGUUACAAGAUCAUGGAUUAUUAAUCAAGCACUAGCAAGAACUACCCAAAUGCAUAUCCAAAUAGGUAAUCAAGGAAUUCAGGAUAACAAUCAUCUAUGAUUUGGCCAAGGUCAUCAAGGUGGACACAUGCAUAUGAUAAAUAUUGUAUUAAUUGUGUAUAGGUAACAAGGAUGAUCCAAGCUAUACUUACCUUGAUCAAAGCUCUCCUGAGCCUGCUGCUGGUCUUCAAAAGAUUGACCUCGAUCACCAACGUAUCACUCACCGUCUAUACCGAUCGUCAAUCAACAACACGCAAUCUAAUAUAGACAAUCAUACACGAAGCAAACAAGCUAUAAUUAGAACAAUACACCAAACAGUGGUAAAACAAAUAUAAAAGUUUAUCAAAAUAUUCUACGCAGCACUACGAUCACACAAACGUAAAGAUCACGAAAAUCGAAGUUAAAACGUAGAAGAUAUGAAUUUUCUAAGAUUUUAUGGAGAAAAGAAAUUAAUUAAUUAAAGUCACGAAAAUAAAAAGUUUUAAACUGAGAAAACCAUUUUUCUAACAUGUAGAGCUCAUGAAAACGAACCUAACGCAAUUUGAAUGGGUCAAAUCGGAGUUAGAAUGAAUAUUUUAUAGCCAAAAGAAAUCCAGUGGCAAACUUGUAAUUUGAUGAAAACGUAUUUUGAGCGAAACCCGAGAUAAAAUACGUUUUCUAAAGGACAUAGCGUGUUUCUGGAAAGGCGUAAAGGACUGCGGGUUUAUUUAGAAAAACUCCGAGGGCUCUUUAUCAAAAUAUACCCCGAAGAGGUAUCUUCUAAUCUCGGCCCUUGGUUUUGGAUCGGAUGGCUCAGAAUGAUUCCAGGGGGGUGAGGGGAGUUCCCUGGCCAGAACAGAGGGAGUCCACGGUGGCUCCAUGGCCGGAAAAGAGCAGAGCUCGCCGGAGUUGCUGGAGAAGGCACUAGGAAGCUCGGUUUUCGACGGGAAAAGUUCCGGGAGCAAGAGAGGACCCUCACGAACUCACCUGGGGGUUAUCGAAGCUCGGGGAGGUCUCGGGAGAGGCGCGCGACGCAAACCUCGGACAGGAGUUUCCCUGGACACUUCGGCGACCUGCGACGAGUGACACAGAGCAUGAAUUCACGAGGGGUAAGACUCAGGGGCUUCGCAAACGCAGCACGAAGCUCGGUAGAAAGGUUACGGUGCUCUGGACGCAGCAGGUGGCGAAACCCACGACGGCGGCGAAUUCGUUCGUCGGAGAGAUCCGAACCGUGGCGAGAGAGCUGCUGGGGCAGCUUCACGUCGCGUGAAACAGAAGAGAGGGUCGAGAGGGAGAGCACAGGGCUUUAUUGACCUGGAGAAGAUCUCCUAACGCGCGAAAUCCUGGCCUGAGCGGGAUUCGGUUUCCACUGAGAGCCCGGGGUCGGUCUGGACUCGAGGGAGAAGAAAGGAAGAGCGGGAUUCGGUUUCUUUUUUUUCCAAAACAUUUUUCCAAAUAGAGUUUUGUGUGCAAAUAAUUUUUAACUAAAAGCAACAUGCAUAACAUAAAAUAUGCUCCAGCAUGAAUGCACAAUCAAGGUUGCUAAACUUACGCUAAAUUUUAUUUUCCACAAAAAAUUAUUUAAGCACUAAAUUUAAAUGCUCACAAAAAUAUACUUAAUUAAAUCAAAUUAAAUCCUAUUAAUUGAAAUCAAAUUUUUGGGUGUUACAGCAUUUUAAUGAGAUAUGGUGGAAAGUUUAGUACCACAUCGCCUGCUGAACCAAAAACGCACAAAGGAGGAGGACUAUAUAAGCAAGGCCCCUGGCCCCUGGAGGAGAACACAUCAAUAUAGAGUUGAGAGGUGCCCUCGAAGGAUAACCUUUCCUCUAUAGAGAAUUAGGGCUAGACAUUCCAAUGUAGUAGAUUAGUUCUAGUCGGGAGUUAGGUAGAGCGGAGCUGCGCUCCGGUUCUGGAGAAGUCUUCAGAGUUUUGGUAUGUCUUUAUAUUUAUUGUAAGACUUAUCCUUUAAUAUAUUUAUCUUCUCUAUUUACUUUUAUGCCUUUAUUAUUAUCGAGUAGUGUAGUUGUUAUAUUUUGGCAUAGGAUCUCCGUUCGGAUCGAGUGCUCUAGUUAUUCAUGGUAAUUAGAGUAGUAAUCGUUAGUGUAGACGUGGUGUCUAUACUAGAGGUUACCUGAGGUUGCACCCAGUCCCGCGGAUUGUUGUGGUAGCCCUAGGGUAGUGACAGCCCUAACGGUCGACGUAUUCCACCUCAUUCGGAUCGGUAUUUGUAGGACCGUAGUCAGAGCUUCCCAGCCCCCUUCUCAUCUCUUUCUGUGGUUGGUGUUCUAAUGUCCCAAAGUGCUAAUAUGUGAUUGCUAUAUCUAUUCAUUCUUUGUUAUCAUAGAACUGAAGUAAUAGAGAAGUAUACAGGAAUCCAGGUCUCUCCCGUUGUCCUCCCGCUAUGGCUAUCUACGCAUUUAUCAUAGAAUUCUCACCUUUAUAUUAUUACCUAUCAUAUAUCAUUUACCCCUACUUUAGUCUAGUUGGUUUAUUAAAUUAGUAGAUCCAUGAUAGUAAGUUAUCAGAUUCUUUGACCUUAGCUUCCCAGUGGUAAAAUAUAAAUAACGAUACCUGGAAUACUCCCGGUAAAAUGCUACGAUGAUGUUCUGUGCGCUUGCGGAAUUUUUCUUAUUCUUAUUGCACUUAACGAAUGUCAACACCUUCCUUGUUCUGAAACUUUCUCAGUUCAACAUGGGCAACCUAAUCUUGCUUAUCCUCAUCAUGAAAAUAGAAGGUCUCUACACAACUAAUAAAUCCUUCUAUUAUUGUGGGCUCAUCAAAGAUUGCUGGAUUAGCAUAACUGUAGUGUGAUUCAAUAAAUAAUAUGUCAAAUGUAGUGGAGAAUCAAGUCUUCCAUUCAUCUUCUUGUCAAUAACAACAAUUACCUCCUUGAACUGAGACUCAUUAUUGCACAUGGCCUCCUUGAUCUCUCUAUGCCUUUAGUAGUUCUCCAUAAACGAAACCCAUGGAUGGCUUCACAUCCCCAUCAACCAAGCGGAGAACAUUGAAUAGUGGAUCAAAAACACUCAUUGUUAGCUUCACAUCUUUCUAGAAGUUUGGAUUCAAUAUAAUGGUUGUGGCAUCUUUUCCUUUCUUUGAUUUUACAUCCCUCGGUGAGUCCCACCUACUAUGAACCACUAUCUUUCUUAGCCGGUCCUUCUUCUCUAGUAUGCUAUUCAAUGUGAGAAAAAUUGAAGCAAACCUAGUCACUCCUGGUCUUACUAUCUCUUUCCUCUCUGUGAAGUAUCUCAUGCAUUCUAAUGUUCUUGUGUGCCCAUAGACAAAUAUAGUUAAUGCCUUUGCUUGCUCAAUCACCUUCUUGAACCGAGCCAAAUUGCCAAUUCCUUCCAGCAUCAGGUUUAAUGUGUGAGUUACACAAGAGGUCCAAAAUAUUUGUGGUCUCUUCUCAAGCAAUAGCUUCUUUGCUCCCAUGUUGUUAGAGGCAUUGCAUAUCACUACUUGCACCACAUUUUCUAGACCAAUGUCUUCAAUUGCUUUGUCCACUAGUUCAAGGACGACUUCACUUGUGUGUGACACAUGUGACAUCUCUUUUGAUCUAAUAAAACUGGUUCCAUUACCACAAUUAGUGUAUAGAUUCAUUAUGCUUCUCCUCUUCCUAUCUGACCAAGCAUCGGUCAUAAUAGAGCACCCAUUCUUGAUCUUCUUGGCUUCACGUUAUUGUAGCAAACUCUUGGUUCUUGCAUAUUCUUCUUCCAGCAAUCUCUCUCGUAGAUCAUACUGACUUGGAGGUUCAAGUCCAGCCCCAAAUUGUCUAAUUGCUUCACACAUCUGCUUAAACUCAUUGUUGUCACAUGCGUUGAAUGGUAUUGCUACCAAUGUUACAAAAAAAGAAGGUUAAUUAGUGUUUAGUACAGCUAUAAUAGCAUCUAAUGAAUUCUAAAAUAUAAAUACAGAAUAGGAAAUUACCAUGAGUAUAGACCCAUCUUGCAAUAUAUUUAUGCACCUCAUGUGUUCUUUCUUUCCAAAGCUCUUUGUUCAGCUUUUGUUGAGUCAAAGAUUCAGAUUUGGUUGCUUUAGGAUCAAUAGCAUGUGUCCAUUUGUCAAUGGGUCCUAAUUUGUGAGGCUCUGAACUUCCAAUACAAGUGACUUCCUCUGACUCUCCACUUCCAACCCGAGAAACAUUCAUUUCCUCUCUAAGUUCUAGCUCACGAACAGUCUUCUCCUCCCUUUUCCUUUUUGCAUCAUCUAGUGCUUUCUUGCACUUCUCUUUAGCCUCCUGUGUGGUGGCCUUGCAUUUUGCCACAUUCUUUCCUUCAUGGGCCACAUGUUGCUUCAACCUUUAAAUCCCUCCUUGCAUCACUUUGUCAUAGAGUUUGCACUUCACCUUGUCCUUGUUGGUAGGAUCAACAAGAACCCCAUAUUCCCAUCCCACAUCGUCUAAAUUCCUUCUCACGAUAUUCGCUCCCUCGGUUUCAAGUGUAGAUGCAGCUUCUGUUGUUGACAUCCUACAUUCAAGAGUUCAGUGACCACACAAUCUAGAAUCCACACAUUCAUAUUCAGAGUUCAGUGAGCGCACAUUUAGAUUGACACUUUAGUGAGCAGUGAGCACACAUAAUACAGAGAAUCAGAUACAUACAUUCAGAUUCAGGCAAUCAUAGAAUACACAUACAUACAUGCAGAUUUAGAUUCAUUCAUUUUAGAGAAUCAGAUUUAGUGUAAUACCUGAUUUUAAGGAUAAAACCAGAUAUGACCAUAUGUGAGUUUUAGAAGCCAAUUCUCACAUAUAGCUACAAAUAAGGGGUAGUAUCCAAAGACGAUGCAUAAAUAUAUAACGUACUUAGUAUAAAAGAGAUAACCUUCGAUAGCAAACAGCGGAUAGUCAACUCCAAACUUUGGGUAUUAACUUCUCUCUACAGGAUCCAACUGACUAGUUGAUCACAAGCCCAAAACUUCUCCUGAGGGGUGGGGGAAAUAGCAAGAGUGAACACAUAUCGUACUCAACAAGUAUAACCAGGGGUUCAUGAGGCUCAAUUAGCUGACAUUGGUUUGACGGUGUUUAGCUUUUAUAUGUAGAUAGCAUAUUUAGUCAUUGGAUAGCAAAUAUCAAGGUAGCAUAUUAAAUCCCAUAACCACAUGAUCAAUGUAUACAAGAAUUAAGAAUAACACAUAUAAACAACAUAAUAAACCAUCAUUUAUCAUCAUUAAUCAUGUUCAUCAGUGUCCAUCUAUUCCGUUAGUUUUCCGGGCCACCCGUAUCCGUGGGCACGGCUAGUAUACCAGAUUUAACACUCUGCAGAGGUUGUACAUCUUUACCCAUGAGUCAUGAUUUACCCUUUUGCCCGAGGUGAUCAGCCUCUUAACCCACUACCAAGGAAGGUCGACAGGGAUCACUAUGAAGUCUUUCAAAGGUUCGUCUAACAAGUUAGAGCCGCUUGGUUUCAUUAGUCAGUCCAUGUGAUCCACCCCUAGGAAUCCACGGUCUGCUAUUCCCCAAUUGCGCCACAUGGGUAACCGCUAACGAGCUAGAAAAUUACUCAUACUUGACUAAAGCCAGAGCCAUAUAGCCCUCAUGGUUGUACGAGUUGUCCCAGCUUUUGCCAAGGGAUAAUUCCUUAUGGAGGGUCAAGAUCAAUCUAGCAAAAGCUAGAACUCUUUUCAUCCUUUAUGUUUAAGUUGCUAGAAAGCUUAUUUUAUUGUUUAUUGUAUAUCCAAAUAUUCAUGUUACAAGAUCAUGGUUUAUAAUCAAGCACUAGCAAGAACUACCCCAAAUGCAUAUCCAAAUAGGUAUCAAGGAAUUCAAGAUAACAAUCAUCUAUGAUUUUACUAGGGUUGUCAAGGUGGACACAUGCAUAUGAUAUAUGUAUUAAAAGUGUGUAGGUAACAAGGAUGGUCCCAAGUUAUACUUGCCUUAAUCCAAAUGCUCUUGUUGAUCCUGCUGGUCUUACUAGUUGCCAAAGCUCUGAUCUUGAUCACCAAAAACUGCUCUCCGACUAAGCUCGAUCAUCGAUCAUCAACACACAAACAAUCAGAGACAACAUACACGAAGCAAUCAAGGCUACAAUUAGAACAGUACACCAAUCAUAUAAAAACAGUAUGAAAAGUUUAUAAAAUGAUUCUAUGCAUCGCUACGAUCUCAAAGACGUAAAGAUCACGAAAAUUAGAAUUAAAACGGAGAAUAUAUGAGUUUUCUAAGAUUUUAUAUAGAAAAGUAAUUAAUGAAUAAGGUCACGAAAUUAAAAAGUUUCAAACUGGUGAAUUAAGUUUACUAACAUGUAGAGCUCAUUAAAAUGAAUCCAACACAAUUUGAAUGGAUCAAAAUGGAAUUAAAAUGAAUAUUUUAUGGCUAAAAUAAAUUCAGUGGCAGUUUUGUAAAUACCAGAAAGCGUAUUUUGAAGUAACCCGAGACAGAUUACGUUUUCAAAACGACAAAACGUAUUUUCUAACUACGUGAAGGACUGCGUGUUUGAUAUAUAAAAAGUCCAGGGGCUCUUUAGAAAAACGUCCAGCGUAUCCUUGAUUUCUGGCCGUUGGAUCACGACUAAAUGGCUUGGAUUAGAUCUGGGAAGAGAGAAAGAGAGGUGGCCUGGCGGAACAGAAACUCCAGCCGGCGAUCCACCAUUGUCGGCAUGAAAAGGUCACCGGAGUUCAAAGAAAAAUACGCUAGAGGCCACUAAUCGAUGCACCGAGAGCAUGAGCAGAUAGAGGGGGUCAACGUGAGCUUACUAUUGACGGUCCUUAAUGCUCACAUUUAACCAUCAACUAAUCAUGAAAAAGGAUCCAAAUGCAACCGACACCUAUACUUAGGGUUUCAUCUGAUAGAUUUUCACGAGUUUUGGUGUUUGUCUAUUUCUGCAGGGGGUUAUCAGGAAAUACGAAGGAAAAGCCCACACAUCGGGAUUACAUAGAGAAUUAAUGUAUGCAGUAAUUUUCCAUAAUCAGGAAGACUCUAGAAGCAACUCGACCGAAGCGGAGCCGAGACGGGUCUUGGGUCGGGGCGCCCGCCCUUGAUCCUAGGGCGCCCGCCCUAGUACAAGCACCAAUCACAGAAUGGAGUUCACCAUUACAAAGAUCUCGUCGAGCUGAUCGAAAUGCAUAUAUUAUUUGUUAUAUUUGGACUUCGUAAUCAAAAGAUAUUAAUAAAAGAAAGACUCCACAUAAAAGAGCUGCGGGAUUAAUACGGGCCCAAAUCAGAUUUUGGUCCAUUAAGGCCUAUGUGCAUUUUAAUGAGAUAUGGUGGAAAGUUUAGUACACAUCGCCUGCUGAACCAAAAACGCACAAAGGAGGAGGACUAUAUAAGCAAGGCCCCUGGCCCCUGGAGGAGAACAUAUCAUUAUAGAGUUGAGAGGUGCCCUCGAAGGAUAACAUUUCCUCUAUAGAGAAUUAGGGCUAGACAUUCCAAUGUAGUAGAUUAGUUCUAGUCGGGAGUUAGGGAGAGCGGAGCUGCGCUUCGGUUCUGGAGAAGUCUUCAGAGUUUAUUGUAAGACUUAUGCUUUAAUAUAUUUAUCUUCUCUAUUUACUUUUAUGCCUUUAUUAUUAUCGAGUAGUGUAGUUGUUAUAUUUUGGCAUAGGAUCUCCGUUCGCAUCGAGUGCUCUAGUUAUUCAUGGUAAUUAGAGUAGUAAUCGUCAGUAUAGACGUGGUGUCUAUACUAGAGGUUACCUGAGGUUGCACCCAGUCCUGCAGAUUGUUGUGGUAGCCCUAGGUUAGUGACAGCCCUAACGGUCGACGUAUUCCACCUCGUUCGGAUCGGUAUUUGUAAGACCGUAGUCAGAGCUUCCCAGCCCCCUUCCAGUUCUCUUUCUAUGGUUGGUGCCCAAAGUCCUAAUAUGUGAUUGCUAUAUCUAUUCAUUCUUUGUUAUUAUAGAACUGAAGUAAUAGAGAAGUAUACAGGAACCCAGGUCUCUCCCGUUGUCCUCCCGCUAUGGCUAUCUACGCAUUUAUCAUAGAAUUCUCACCUUUAUAUUAUUACCUAUCAUAUAUCAUUUACCUCUACUUUAGUCUAGUUGGUUUAUUAAAUUAGUAGAUGCAUGAUAGUAAGUUAUCAGAUUCUUUGACCUUAGCUCCCCAGUGGUAAAAUAUAAAUAACGAUACCUCGAAUACUCUCGGUAAAAUGCUACAAUGAUGUUCUGUGCGCUUGCGGAAUUUUUCUUAUUCUUAUUGCACUUAACGAAUGUCAACAAGCAUUUUUGGCGCCGUUGCCGGGGAAGCAAUUGGUGUGAAGAUUUUGAUAAUAAUCUUGAUGUCUGCUAAUUUAAUGUAUCACUAGCUUUAGUAGGUUUAUUGUAUUUAUCUUUUCUGCAUUUGUUUUCAGCAUAUUUAUUUCUCCAUAACAUAUUUAUCUUUCUGCAUUAUUAUUGCAUUAAAAAAUAUAAUAAAAAUAUUUAUAUAACUCAUUGCAUCUUAAAUACUAAAACCCCAUGUGAAUAAAUUGUGUGGUGUGUAAAAUCCCACACGGAUAUUCACCGUGGUGGAAUAAAAAAAUAAAAAUAAAUAAACAUGCAUUCAUCCUAUUCCAUUUUCUUUUUGCUUCAUAGAAAGAUUAAAACCCAAAAAAAAUAUAUAUAUUGAGAAAGAUAUCUUGUUGAAACUCUGCUUAGAAAAAGAAUUAAGAAAAAUCAAAAAAGCUCGGACAACUAAGGCUUAAGUGGCCAACUAUUAAUGUUUAAUCGGUGCCACAAGUUUUGUUGUCUAUUUGAGUUUAACAUGAUUUAAAGAGAGAAACCCCAAUGAUCAAGAUAUCUUCAUCAACUUGGAAGUGCUACAAUCAUCACUGACAUUUUGAAGCUCAAGAAUAUUGAAGAACAUCUGUGUUGUGCGGAUUCAAGAUUAAAGACUAUGUCAACAUUCAGCUCGGGGGAAGCAAUCCCGUUAUCUUUGCGAUUCAGGCUUGAAGUAAAAGAGUGAAGAAUAACAAGGUAUGUCCAACCAAUCAUCAUGCAACAUUGAAUUAAAUUCAUCCAAACUUGACUUGUUCAAGCUGGGGGGAAUACCUUACACAAAAACAUCCUUUGCUAUGUUGUUAUGUUGGUUGUCCCUACCCUUAAGACAUGCUCAAAUUGUUAAACACUAAUCAUUCUAUUUCAUCCCCACUUGAGUAGAUCUCUAUAAUGUUGUCAUGCUACCUUUGUCUAUUCACAAGUAAGUGUUGGUUUGAAAGUACUCGACAUACUUCCAUUGGCAUUUAAAUUAAGCAUGGUGCUUAGGUUAAAUAGUCUUCCUUAAUCCGAUUAGACAUGGAGUCUAGUUUGGUUAUUGAACUAAAAACUGCUUGUGUAGACACUGGUAUAUUUUGUUGGACUAACCCCUGCAGGAUAAUUUUCAAUAUCGAUUUGAGAAGUCCUGAGAUAAAUUCAGAAUGGAGAUAAAGAAGGAGACACAUGAAGUUUAACAAUUUGCACAAGAAAGACAUAGCUCGAGAGAUAAUCCAUGGAACGAGACGAAGAGUGCCACGAACAAGAUGCACAACCAUUGAGAAAGAAAAGCUUCUACAAGGUGAUAUUGUACCAUCACUCUUCAAUUAAGGUAACAUCUUAAGGUAUGUGACUGUCACUGUUAUAAGCUUCUCCUUGAUUCUGGCAUGCAGUUGGAUAAAAAGACAAACAUGUAUGAUUUAUAACUCCAAAUUAACCAACCCAAUUGAUUCAACAUGUUUAGUCCUUUAAUCUUUGUUUCCAGUACUACCUUCUUGAUCCCACACUCUUAACCAUAUGAGCUAAAAUGUUGCACAUCCGAUCUUUGGAAAAUGAUAGUCAUGUAAAGAAAAAAACAUUACUUAGAUAGAUUAUCUUUCCAUAAGGUUGAGUGAUCUGAUCUGACAAAUGUUUUAAACGCUACACUCAUGAUCUUAUCAUCCAUCAACUUUGUCUUGCUCACUAUGCUUAAGGUUAGAGAAGAACAAAUACACUUUUGGUUCUAUUGGUGUUUUCCACCAACAAGGCCCAUGCACUUUAUCUCUGCCUUGUCUCUAUGAGCAGGAUACACUUCGAGCAAAACAUGGAGGAGUUUCCAACUCCUGGACUCUACCAAGUGAAGGACCUGGAUCUACGAGCACAAACACACUGAGGAGGAUGCUGCCAACGCCGUGCUUCGAACUGCUGGGCAAACGAAAAACAUGGGUGACACCGUAUCAAGAGGUGCAGAUGUCAAGGUCCACACCUAACUCAAAUGACGCACCUAAAGAAUAAACACGGUGAGAAUUCUUGUUCAGAAGACUUAAAAUAAUGAACCCUCGCCGAAAGGUAAAAUCGGUAGUUAUGCAUAUUUAUCCUUUCUGCAUUCCCUUCUUUCUUAAAUUAUUUACUUUCCUUAAAUAGCUUGUUAGUUAAUCAUGCUAUCUUGAAAAGAAAAUAAAAAUGUUAAAAACAGUAAGCCCCAUGUGAGUAUGCUCGUGGCACAAAACCCAUUCACUGUGGUGGCGUAAAAAUAAAAUAAAUAUAUUCUUGUCCUGUAAAAAUGAAAAUAUAAAAAUAAAUUUAUGAUCCUACUAAAGAGUAAUAUUUAUUAGAGGAAGCUCAACAUGAUAAAGGCUAAGAAAUUUUAUGCUAACACUUAACCAGUUCCACAAAGCUUUGUUGUCUACUUGAGCUCCACAGAAUUCAAGGAUCAAGAAAGACUAGCAGACGUAGGAUAUCCUAAUCGCUAUCAGGGUGCUGCCAACAUUCAAAUACACCUACGCCACCUGCUAGCUACAUCAGAAGAAAUUACAUUAAAAUCCAGCUUGGGGGAGAGCACCCCCAUUUAUCCAGCUAAGUGUUUCUACUCACAUUUAUACCUUACUCAAAUAAUAAAAAAAUACAUAAUCAUAAAAACUCAAUUAAACAUUUUAUGCUUAUAUAUAUCUUUGCUUAGUUUGCUAAAUAAAUAAAUAAAGUGUCUAUGCCAAACUGAACUUCAAUGAUAAACUCUUACAUGGAUAUGAUGAAUAGUUGCUCUGCCAAGUACCUAGUUUUCAAAUUUGAGCUCUCUCUCAAGUUUAGGCAUAACUAUUAUAAUUUAAAGCUUGCUCUAAACCUGAAUUUGUGGGAAGAGUACCUGAUCAAAAGUCUAAGUCGUUAACAGAUAUGAUAUGGGAAGGUUGGGCUGCUGUUUAUCGGUUCCUAGAGAUGCUAGAAUUCUGGAGAAUUUUAUCUUUAAAAAUCUUUAAAUUGUUGCAUGAUGAGUUCCUGUAUGAUGAGAGUUUUAAAAUCCUACCACAGCCAUAUAUACAAGCUUAUUAGACUAUGAACCAUACAUUUACUUUUUACUGCUUAUGAGCAUUGAGUGUGGUCAAGCUGUGUAGACCCUUAGAAGCUUGUCAUGCGGUUAAAAUCAAGAUUCACUUGCACGUUCACUCAUACAUGCUGCUUCUACUCUAGAAGUACACAUCUACAUACAUCCACUCAUUUCCAUAUCCAGAUUCACUCAAAAUUAUUCUACUCCUAUCUAGGAGAGAAUAGCCAAAAACAUUAUCUUAUCCCUGUUAUUCUCCGUGAAAUAAAUGCUCGAGAUAUUUUGAUUACUACCACUUGCUACAUUAUUCCAGGAGGGUGAGUGCUCUGAAAAAAGUGAAUACGAGGAAAUAAAAAGGGGCAAGUGCCUGAAACCUCGAAAAAAAAAAGAAGAAGAAGAAAAAGAAAAAGUGAGACGAGAGGUAAAAAUAGACAAGUGUCCGACAGUAGAAUUAGGGGUACAAGAUACCCACCUAAGAGAAAAGAAAAAUAAAAUAUAGAGCGUCUCAUUCCCCUCAAAAUCCUUAAGUGCAAGAAAGGUAUGUACCCCCUCAAAAGAGAAAAAGUAGAAUUAGACUUUCACCUUUAUUUUCACCAUUAUCACCAUUCAUUCGCCACACAUGCACAUCUUGAUUUGACUUAUUGACUUGUUCUUCUGGAUCCAUGGUUUGACUAUGCAAUAAGUGUCUUGUAAGUAUGUAUUAGCUGUAUCCCACCUAUGAGCUCCAGAUAUCAAAACCUUAUUAGAGUAGGGUGAGAGAGAAGGCAAUACCACUAUGCCUCAUACCAAAAAUACCACAUACUUUGAGAGAAGACAUACACCAUUACUGCCUUGGUAAGGAUCCAGAAAUACCACAAAAGAGAGACUAGAGAGAGUCAUACAAGGAAUCUCUGAGUUUUAUUUAAAAAUCUGCAAAAACUCCAGAGCUAUAGUUAAUCGAAGAACAAGUGACAUGGCGCUUGACUAGACCGUUCUAUCUUUUAACUCCUCAAGACAUAAGUGACGGUUGCAAGCCCCAUGGUAGAAGGUAAAAUGUGUAAGUUUAAAUCUUAACAGUUUACCCUAACCCAGAGAUGAGAUCUUGUUUGAACGCAUGUGUACCUUUAAGGCAUGAAACCACUGCAGAAACUCUUGAGUCCAUCUUUGCUCAGGGACGAGCAAAGGUUAAGCUUGGGGGAGCCUGUUGACGGUCCUUAAUGCUCACAUUUAACCAUCAACUAAUCAUGAAAAAGGAUCCAAAUGCAACCGACACACUUAGGGUUUCAUCUGAUAGAUUUUCAUGAGUUUUGGUGUUUGUCUAUUUCUGUAGGGGGUUAUCAGGUACGAAGGAAAGGCCCACACGUCGGGUUUACAUAGAGAAUUAAUGUGUGCGGUAAUUUUCCAUAAUCAGGAAGACUCUAGAAGCAACUCGACCGAAGCGGAGCCGAGAC
Molecule: long non-coding RNA, 25228 nt
Filed under: Sorghum bicolor (sorghum)
Lineage: Eukaryota; Viridiplantae; Streptophyta; Magnoliopsida; Poales; Poaceae
Description: long non-coding RNA (SBIC_LNC014726)
Source: RNAcentral